Long non-coding RNA from Polistes canadensis, 595 nucleotides. RefSeq lists it as uncharacterized. The transcript is spliced from 3 exons. NCBI's taxonomy places the organism in Eukaryota, Metazoa, Arthropoda, Insecta, Hymenoptera, Vespidae. The record is from RefSeq and is a predicted model, not a curated record.
UGCUACCAGUUUUAACCUCCUGUGACGUCCCAGAUGGGGUUGUCAAGAGGAGCAUGUGGCCGUCACGCCAAAGCCUGGCGCCUCCGGCACUCCUACCGUCACGCCUCUUGUGACGAAACUAAAGAACUAGAAAAACACCACGUUAAUAAACAAUCGUUACUAUUCAGUCUCUUCCGUUCCAACCACCGAGCUAGACACCGCGUACUUAUGAGCAGUAAACAAAGACGUGAAACUAGUUACUACUUCCUUUUUCCUCUUUAAGAUUUUAAUUUACUCGGUUAGGAAGAGUACCCUGUUUUGAGUCAAUCCGUGGAGCCGGAUUUUACUCGGGAUCUGGGCAAGAGGAGCCUUAAUCCCAAAAUAAGUAGAAUAUUUUACUUACCUUGGCGCCGCUGUUGUUUGAUAGAUGUUGAAGAAGAUGGUUGAUAGAUGUUGAUUCCGUCAGUAAUUUGGAUAGACCUCCCUGAUAACAAUUGAGGAUUUUGGCCAACAGGAGCUUAAUUCCAAUUCACAACACACGAUAUUUGAAAGAAAACGACGUGUCACAGAACAACGUAAACUGAACGCAGUAUUAUAAAGAUGAAAGAACGUACUC